RNAcentral lists this ribosomal RNA (253 nucleotides) under uncultured bacterium. RNAcentral's name for it is "partial 16S ribosomal RNA". It matches the Rfam family "Bacterial small subunit ribosomal RNA", at positions 524 to 776 of the family's 1533-position model. The record is from RNAcentral.
UACGUAGGUGGCAAGCGUUGUCCGGAUUUACUGGGCGUAAAGAGCGCGCAGGCGGCUGGUCAAGUCCGAUGUGAAAUCUCCCGGCUUAACUGGGAAACUGCAUCGGAAACUGAUCGGCUUGAAGGUGGGAGAGGGUAGUGGAAUUCCCGGUGUAGUGGUGAAAUGCGCAGAUAUCAGGAAGAACACCAAUGGCGAAGGCAGCUCUCUGGGACGGUACUGACGCUGAGACGCGAAAGCGUGGGGAGCGAACAGG